AUUGAACGCUGGCGGCAUGCUUUACACAUGCAAGUCGAACGGUAACAGGCCUUCUGGUGCUGACGAGUGGCGCACGGGUGAGUAAUGCAUCGGAACGUGCCCAGAGGUGGGGGAUAACGCAGCGAAAGCUGUGCUAAUACCGCAUGUGAUCUGAGGAUGAAAGCGGGGGACCACGCAGCACUGUUUGGCCUCGCGCCUCUGGAGCUGCCGAUGUCUGAUUAGGUAGUUGGUGGGGUAAAGGCCUACCAAGCCGACGAUCUGUAGCUGGUCUGAGAGGACGAACAGCCACACUGGAACUGAGACACGGCCCAGACUCCUACGGGGGGCAGCAGUGGGGAAUUUUGGACAAUGGGCGCAAGCCUGAUCCAGCAAUGCCGCGUGCGGGAAGAAGGCCUUCGGGUUGUAAACCGCUUUUGUACGGAACGAAAAGGCUCUGGCUAAUACCUGGGGCUGAUGACGGUACCGUAAGAAUAAGCACCGGCUAACUACGUG
Molecule: ribosomal RNA, 492 nt
Filed under: uncultured bacterium
Lineage: Bacteria
Description: partial 16S ribosomal RNA
Rfam family: Bacterial small subunit ribosomal RNA
Source: RNAcentral